This 320-nucleotide ribosomal RNA is filed under the name uncultured bacterium. RNAcentral's name for it is "bacterial SSU rRNA". It matches the Rfam family "Bacterial small subunit ribosomal RNA", at positions 470 to 789 of the family's 1533-position model. The record is from RNAcentral.
UGCAGGUACCCGCGCGAAUAAGGACCGGCUAAUUCCGUGCCAGCAGCCGCGGUAAUACGGAAGGUCCGAGCGUUAUCCGGAUUUAUUGGGUUUAAAGGGUGCGCAGGCGGCCUUUUAAGUCAGUGGUUAAAUCGUGGAGCUUAACUCCAUCCCGCCAUUGAUACUGGAGAGCUUGAUUGCGGUUGAGGUUGGCGGAAUUCGCCGUGUAGCGGUGAAAUGCAUAGAUAUGGCGAAGAACUCCGAUUGCGUAGGCAGCUGACCAAGCCGUAAAUGACGCUCAUGCACGAAAGUGCGGGGAUCGAACAGGAUUAGAUACCCUG